RNAcentral lists this ribosomal RNA (432 nucleotides) under uncultured Prochlorococcus sp. RNAcentral's name for it is "bacterial SSU rRNA". It matches the Rfam family "Bacterial small subunit ribosomal RNA", at positions 30 to 509 of the family's 1533-position model. Lineage: Bacteria; Bacillati; Cyanobacteriota; Cyanophyceae; Synechococcales; Prochlorococcaceae. The record is from RNAcentral.
UGAACGCUGGCGGCGUGCUUAACACAUGCAAGUCGAACGAACCCUCGGGUUAGUGGCGGACGGGUGAGUAACGCGUGAGAAUCUGCCCUCAGGAGGGGGAUAACGGUUGGAAACGACCGCUAAUACCCCAUAUGCCUAUUGGUGAAAUGAAUUUCGCCUGAGGAUGAGCUCGCGUCUGAUUAGCUAGUUGGUGAGGUAAUGGCUCACCAAGGCUUCGAUCAGUAGCUGGUCUGAGAGGAUGAUCAGCCACACUGGGACUGAGACACGGCCCAGACUCCUACGGGAGGCAGCAGUGGGGAAUUUUCCGCAAUGGGCGAAAGCCUGACGGAGCAACGCCGCGUGAGGGACGAAGGCCUCUGGGCUGUAAACCUCUUUUCUCAAGGAAGAAGAUAUGACGGUACUUGAGGAAUAAGCCACGGCUAAUUCCGUGCC